AUUACAGAUGAUUUAAAUGGGUAACCUAUUUUCAUUUGUCUCGCUGAUUUUUAAACGUUGUCUUUUUGUAAUUCCUUUUUGUAGACAGCUGAUUUUACUUCUAGAGUUAUAUAGUCCCAGAGAUGUUUAUGACUACUUACGUCCCAUUGCUCUGAAUCUGUGUGCAGACAAAGUUUCUUCUGUUCGUUGGAUUUCCUACAAGUUGGUCAGCGAGAUGGUGAAGAAGCUGCACGCGGCAACACCACCAACGUUCGGAGUGGACCUCAUCAAUGAGCUUGUGGAGAACUUUGGCAGAUGUCCCAAGUGGUCUGGUCGGCAAGCCUUUGUCUUUGUCUGCCAGGUAAGCGAGGCCCUGGGCUUACUUGUUUAUGAGUUUUUCUCCUAGAAGAAUGUCUUCUUUAACUUCCUACCUCUCUCUCACUCUCUUCCUUAUUCUUAAGGAACAGAACCUUAUGGUAGCCUGGCUGUUUAUAGGAUCAUCUGCCCCCAUUGUUGGGCAUCGGCUGGCCCCUCUCUCCCAGCUAGCCAAGCCCCUCCUUACACUGGCAUGCACCACAC
Molecule: small RNA, 558 nt
Filed under: Pongo abelii (Sumatran orangutan)
Lineage: Eukaryota; Metazoa; Chordata; Mammalia; Primates; Hominidae
Description: retained intron
Source: RNAcentral